AUACUUACCUGGAAGGGGUGAAUGGGUGAUCAAGAAGGUCCAUGGCCUAGGCUAGUGACCUCCAUCAAGAAGGUCAGUUUCAAACUUCAAACUUUUUUGUCUUGAAACUUUAUUAUAAUUUGAUAUUAGUUUGUUUUGUUUAAGAAUUGGACUUG
Molecule: non-coding RNA, 155 nt
Organism: Cicer arietinum (chickpea)
Lineage: Eukaryota; Viridiplantae; Streptophyta; Magnoliopsida; Fabales; Fabaceae
Source: RefSeq, a predicted model, not a curated record